UUUUCAAAAUUGACAGCUGCUACAUUCAAGCAUUAUUCUGCCUAAAAUUGUGACCAAAACGUACCUAGAUAAUAUAUCUACCUCCUGCGAGCAAUCAAUUUUUAAAUAAACUUGAUGAAAGUGCCUGUUAGAGUCGAUAAUUUCAGAUAAUUUUUAUUUUCUCUUUCUUUCAUGCAGACAUCAUCAUUUCACAACUAAUUUGAAAUAAACUUGCGUAUCUAUGACAAAAAUCCAUAAUAUCAUUACAAGGGCAAUACACACAAAGGUCAGAUGUGUCAAUUUAAUUUUUAGAAACGGUUGCAGUCACAAAGUAAUUGACAGAAUUAAAUGUAAAUUUCAGCAUAUUUUUUCACAUAAAAAUGUGUUAGUGAGUAGAAAUGCGAUCUAGCUGAGCACAUGGUCUUAUGGAUUACAUAAUUUUCGGCGCUUAACGUGAAAACAGUAAAGGCGCAGGAUUCACAAACAUUAAAUUUAUGCUUAAAUCUAUAUGCGAUUCAUUAUGCAUAUAAUUAUAAUUCACGAUAAUAUCGCAUAUGGAAGUAACUGGAAUAAAUUCGGACUAUUUCCUUCGGAAGUUUACAUGACUGUGCAGUCAAAAGGCCUCCCUCGUGUUUACAUAUUUUGACAGGUCGAGUUGUUCUGGGACUAGGAACAAUGAUGAAGAUAUAAAUUUAUCCAAAGAAAUAAUGAGACAAUGAAUGCUAAAAUUGCCAAGAAAAGACUGCCAUAUUUACACACCAUUUUAUACAGAUGAUCAUCUGAAGGGCCACAAUUGUUUGAAGCAUUGGUCAACAAAAACUGAACUAUUUGAUGGAUCAUACAUGUGCAGAAUGUACUACCAUAUUACCAGAAUCAGAGAAAUAGAAAUAUCAAAUAUUAGGGAGAAAGAAAAGUAUGCAUCAUGUAUGAAGAACUGCCUAAGAAUAAUUUGCAAAAUACAUUGAAAAUUGCUAAUUGCAUAAUGCAUAUGGAAGUUAAGAAAGGUGUACUCUUCUGGAAAAUAUGUGUCCAGUGCAACAUUUUUUUUCAAUUUUGUGAGCAUAAUUCUACAUAAAAAUUGUAGCAUGGCUACAGGGAUAAUACAAAAGGUGUAAUCUUAUUUCCAAACACAUUAGGGGAAUCAGAGAAGAAACAACAAGAAUUAGGGAAAAUGAAAUAAUUGUCAUGAAUGAAGAACUUGCUUUUUAUUAAUUUACAAAAUACUUUGAAGCUUCACAACUGUUAAUGAUAUUAUGAUAUCAUGAAUAUGGAAGUUUAGAAGUGUGCAUUUUGAUUAAUCUUCAACUGCCCUGAGCAUAGUUCUACAUAAAAUUUAUAACUUUAUAAAAUAGUGGGGGUUCGUUUUGGGGAGGCUGCGCUUUUGGUGCGUGGCAUUCCCUGUUUGAUAUUUUUCUUUGUUUGUAGAAAAAGUGUAAGACUUUCAUACUUGUUUUAUAGGAAAUGUUUCUGAAUGCUUUUAAUGUAAAUUUGCUAGACCCAGACCCCUAGCUCCUAAGUCAAGGUUACACUUAGAUGUCAGAUGUUAAAAGGGUCUGUUACUGGUCAAUAACUCUGCCAUACAUAAAGGGAUUUUGGAAUUACUUGGCAUACAUGUUCACCAUAAAGAGACAACGUGUUAUGCACAAGACCCAAACCCUUGCUCCAAGAUCAAGGUCACACUUAGAAGUCAAAGGUUAAUAGAGUUUUUUCCCUGUCCGGUCAAUAACUCUGCGAUGCUUGAAGGGACUUUUAGAUAACUUGGCUUAAAUGUUCACCAUAAUGAAACAAGGUGUCAUGCCCAAGACCAAGACCCCUAACUCUAAGGUCACACUUAGAGGCCAAAAGUCAGAUACAAAAAUGACUUUGUCCGGAGCAUUUCUUGUUCAUGCAUGGAGGGAUUUUGAUGUACAAUGGCAAAAAUGUUCUUCAUCAUGAGAUGGAGUGUAAUGAGUAAGAACCAGGCCCCUAAUCCUUUGCUGUUACUAUAAAUACCUAUUACUGUAAAGUUCUAUUCUAUUAACCAUUAUCAUGCUGAACAUGAUUUAUUCUGUCUUUGCGACCAGUGUAGAUCAUGAUCAGCCUGCACAUCCAUGCAGUCUGAUGAUGAUCAGCACUGUUCACCAUUCAAUCAGUAUAUUUUGGUAAGCAUCCCUUUUAACAGUUAAUGUUACUGUCCUAAUUGAAAAAUGGACAAGUUCAUUAUAGAAAUUCAACAGGGUAAGGGUUAAUAUUAGCCAUAGGGGAAAAUUGGGACUACUUUUCUGUAGAACAACACGCAUGUUUGAUCCAAUUUUUGAUGUAUUUUGCCUGAUAAGUACUUUUGUGUGGACUUAGAUUUUUUCCCCGCUAUAUAUAUAUAUAGCGGGGAAAAAAGAUUGAAGGAAAUGCCUUUUGUGAUAUUACAUGGUUUAAUUCAGUAAAAUAUAUAAGUUAAAAAUCUCAACCGGUUUCAUCAUUAAUAUGGAUCUUCAGGAGUACAUAUAUAUAUAUAUGUAUGUGUGUGUUAACUUUUACAAUUGACCGUAGUGAAAAUUCAAGACCAUUUUCCUGUGUUACUUUCAUAUUUUAGGUGUAUUUUAAGGUACCUCUUCCUGGUAAGGAGUUUUUUUGUGGACUUAAAAAAAUUAAAACUUACUUCCCUUUGUUGCUACUAUAAAACGAUUAUUCUUCAAACUUUUUAUCCUGGUUGUUAGAAUUGGAUAUGUCAUUGUUUUGGCUUACUGUCUACCAAACUUAUAGUUUUGUACAGAAAAUGUUUUAUUAUAUCAUCGACGAGCAUAUAUUUAACAUCCUGGCACUGUUGCUUUAUUUUGUUCAUGCCAAGAUGCUGUAUUGGCAUACAGUAUGUAUGAUGACGUUGCUAACUGUUACAAAUUCUUGUUGUAUUUUUCCGAAGUUGUUGCCCUACUUGAUCUUGAACUAAUUCAUCACAUCGUAAACUCGUGAACUUAAGUCGAACAGAUUCAUCCAACUGAAUUGAAACUAGGUAUACAUCAGCAGCAUGAAAUGAAUAUGUACACGUUGUCCUGACUUUUAUGAUCGAUUAUUUUGUCUGGAGUUGUGGCCCUUCUUUAACGACGAAUGACAGCUACUUUGUAGUUUCCUUCUCUUCAUUUCAAACACAACUUGUUAAGCAUCAUAAACAUUAUGUAGACAUGCGCUUUUGUUUUGUGGUCAGUUGUUUAACUUAUAUAUAUUUUUUCCUUAAUAACAUUAUUGACCCGUCGUUAUUAUAAAUUAUUGAAUGAAACAUUUUUGUCGACACAAUCUAGUUCGCUAUGCAACCUCUGUGAAGGAAUAUUGUCAAACUAUACCGAUAAGGGUAAGAGUUUGCUUCCUUUAAUUUUGUAGCACAACUUUCUAUGCAUAAUUGUGUCUUGCUCAUAUAUAUAAAACUUUUAUUUGUGUGAACAUGCAUGAAUUUGCUAUACUGCAAAA
Long non-coding RNA from Mercenaria mercenaria, 3417 nucleotides. RefSeq lists it as uncharacterized. The record is from RefSeq and is a predicted model, not a curated record. The transcript is spliced from 3 exons. NCBI's taxonomy places the organism in Eukaryota, Metazoa, Mollusca, Bivalvia, Venerida, Veneridae.